Molecule: ribosomal RNA, 508 nt
Filed under: uncultured bacterium
Lineage: Bacteria
Description: bacterial SSU rRNA
Rfam family: Bacterial small subunit ribosomal RNA
Source: RNAcentral
UAGUCCACGCCGUAAACGAUGUCUGCUAGCUGUUGGCGACUUUAAGUUGCUAGUGGCGUAGCUAACGCGAUAAGCAGACCGCCUGGGGAGUACGGCCGCAAGGUUAAAACUCAAAUGAAUUGACGGGGGCCCGCACAAGCGGUGGAGCAUGUGGUUUAAUUCGAUGCAACGCGAAGAACCUUACCAGGUCUUGACAUCCCGAGAAGUCGCUAGAGAUAGCUUCGUGCCUUCGGGAACUCGGUGACAGGUGCUGCAUGGCUGUCGUCAGCUCGUGUCGUGAGAUGUUGGGUUAAGUCCCGUAACGAGCGCAACCCCUAUUUUCAGUUGCCAGCAAUUCGGUUGGGGACUCUGGAAAGACUGCCCGUGUAAGCGUGGAGGAAGGUGGGGACGACGGUCAAAUCAUCAUGGCCUUUAUGCCUAGGGGCUACACACGUGCUACAAUGGUAGAUACAAAGGGUUGCCAAGCCGCGAGGUGGAGCUAAUCCCAUAAAGUCUAUCCCAGUUCGGA